Molecule: long non-coding RNA, 474 nt
Filed under: Felis catus (domestic cat)
Lineage: Eukaryota; Metazoa; Chordata; Mammalia; Carnivora; Felidae
Description: lncRNA (ENSFCAG00000053206.1)
Source: RNAcentral
CAGAGAAACGGGGAACUGGUCAAAGAAUACUCCACAGAGAGAAAGCACCACCAUCAGCCUUUGCCUCCCAGAUUGUACCUGGACAUGGUAACAGUUCAGGAGCCUGAAGACACUGCCGUUGAGUGGAUAUUCUCACUUUGAAACUGGCUGCACACUCACUUGGGAGCUUUUGAGCCAAUUUCUGAACUGAAGGCUAGAUGCUCGUUUUUAUCCUGAAAUUGGGAAGAACACGAGAAGAAGACCGUGUGGUACCAGGAUUGGUUGUUGGUUAACCAUUUGAAGACCAUUCAGAUUUGAAAAUCUUACAUUACAGCAAUUAGAGGAUGGAAAUCAAUCCCUGCAUACUGAGAAAAAUGAAAAAACUAAGAAGAUUUUUAGUGUCUGCACCAUGUCGUCUGCCUCAGUCACAGCACAACCAGGAUUUCCCAACCUAGCAUCCCAAUACUAAAACGGACACACACAGACAUGGCUCCC